ACACGUAGGGGGCGAGCGGUGUUCGGAAUUACUGGGCGUAAAGGGCGUGUAGGCGGCUAUAAAAGUCAGGUGUGAAAAGCCUCGGCUCAACCGAGGACUAGCACAUGAAACUAAAUAGCUUGAGUGCAGGAGAGGGGAGCGGAAUUCCCGGUGUAGCGGUGAAAUGCGUAGAUAUCGGGAAGAACACCGGUGGCGAAGGCGGCUCUCUGGACUGCAACUGACGCUGAGGCGCGAAAGCUAGGGUAGCGAACGGGAUUAGAUACCCCGGUAGUCCUAGCUGUAAACUAUGGGUACUAGGUGUUGGCAGUUACCUGUCAGUGCCGAAGUUAACGCAUUAAGUAUCCCGCCUGGGGAGUACGGCCGCAAGGCUGAA
This 373-nucleotide ribosomal RNA is filed under the name uncultured bacterium. RNAcentral describes it as "bacterial SSU rRNA". It matches the Rfam family "Bacterial small subunit ribosomal RNA", at positions 523 to 898 of the family's 1533-position model. The record is from RNAcentral.